ACCGACGAUGCGUAGGGGUUCUGAGAGGAAGGUCCCCCACACUGGUACUGAGACACGGACCAGACUCCUACGGGAGGCAGCAG
This 83-nucleotide ribosomal RNA is filed under the name uncultured bacterium. RNAcentral describes it as "partial 16S ribosomal RNA". It matches the Rfam family "Bacterial small subunit ribosomal RNA", at positions 272 to 354 of the family's 1533-position model. The record is from RNAcentral.